Molecule: ribosomal RNA, 409 nt
Filed under: Streptomyces peucetius
Lineage: Bacteria; Bacillati; Actinomycetota; Actinomycetes; Kitasatosporales; Streptomycetaceae
Description: bacterial SSU rRNA
Rfam family: Bacterial small subunit ribosomal RNA
Source: RNAcentral
UCCGGAAGCAUCAGAGAUGGUGCCCCCCUUGUGGUCGGUAUACAGGUGGUGCAUGGCUGUCGUCAGCUCGUGUCGUGAGAUGUUGGGUUAAGUCCCGCAACGAGCGCAACCCUUGUUCUGUGUUGCCAGCAUGCCCUUCGGGGUGAUGGGGACUCACAGGAGACUGCCGGGGUCAACUCGGAGGAAGGUGGGGACGACGUCAAGUCAUCAUGCCCCUUAUGUCUUGGGCUGCACACGUGCUACAAUGGCCGGUACAAAGAGCUGCGAAGCCGCGAGGCGGAGCGAAUCUCAAAAAGCCGGUCUCAGUUCGGAUUGGGGUCUGCAACUCGACCCCAUGAAGUCGGAGUUGCUAGUAAUCGCAGAUCAGCAUUGCUGCGGUGAAUACGUUCCCGGGCCUUGUACACACCGA